CCUCUCCUUCCCUCCCUCUCUCCCUUUCUACUGUACUAUUGACUGUAUGUUUGUUUAUUCCAUGUGUAACUCUGUGUUGUUUGUGUCGCACUGCUUUGCUUUAUCUUGGCCAGGUCGCAGUUGUAAAUGAGAACUUGGUUCUCAACUGGCCUACCUGGUUAAAUAAAGGUGUUCUCAACUAGCCUACCUGGUUAAAUAAAGGUGUUCUCAACUAGCCUCCCUGGUUAAAUAAAGGUGUUCUCAACUAGCCUCCCUGGUUAAAUAAAGGUGUUCUCAACUGGCCUACCUGGUUAAAUAAAGGUGUUCUCAACUGGCCUCCCUGGUUAAAUAAAGGUGUUCUCAACUGGCCUCCCUGGUUAAAUAAAGGUGUUCUCAACUGGCCUACCUGGUUAAAUAAAGGUGUUCUCAACUGGCCUACCUGG
Long non-coding RNA from Oncorhynchus tshawytscha (Chinook salmon), 422 nucleotides. The record is from Ensembl. Lineage: Eukaryota; Metazoa; Chordata; Actinopteri; Salmoniformes; Salmonidae.